Molecule: ribosomal RNA, 621 nt
Filed under: Oxalobacteraceae bacterium Se2Ps_2392
Lineage: Bacteria; Pseudomonadati; Pseudomonadota; Betaproteobacteria; Burkholderiales; Oxalobacteraceae
Description: bacterial SSU rRNA
Rfam family: Bacterial small subunit ribosomal RNA
Source: RNAcentral
UGCCGCGUGAGUGAAGAAGGCCUUCGGGUUGUAAAGCUCUUUUGUCAGGGAAGAAAAGGGUCUGGCUAAUAUCUGGGCCUCAUGACGGUACCUGAAGAAUAAGCACCGGCUAACUACGUGCCAGCAGCCGCGGUAAUACGUAGGGUGCAAGCGUUAAUCGGAAUUACUGGGCGUAAAGCGUGCGCAGGCGGUUUUGUAAGACUGUCGUGAAAUCCCCGGGCUCAACCUGGGAAUGGCGAUGGUGACUGCAAGGCUAGAGUUUGGCAGAGGGGGGUAGAAUUCCACGUGUAGCAGUGAAAUGCGUAGAUAUGUGGAGGAACACCGAUGGCGAAGGCAGCCCCCUGGGUCAAAACUGACGCUCAUGCACGAAAGCGUGGGGAGCAAACAGGAUUAGAUACCCUGGUAGUCCACGCCCUAAACGAUGUCUACUAGUUGUCGGGUCUUAAUUGACUUGGUAACGCAGCUAACGCGUGAAGUAGACCGCCUGGGGAGUACGGUCGCAAGAUUAAAACUCAAAGGAAUUGACGGGGACCCGCACAAGCGGUGGAUGAUGUGGAUUAAUUCGAUGCAACGCGAAAAACCUUACCUACCCUUGACAUGGAUGGAAUCUUCGAGAGAUUG